RNAcentral lists this ribosomal RNA (2108 nucleotides) under Escherichia coli. Its description in RNAcentral is "partial 23S ribosomal RNA". It matches the Rfam family "Bacterial large subunit ribosomal RNA", at positions 1 to 2136 of the family's 2925-position model. Lineage: Bacteria; Pseudomonadati; Pseudomonadota; Gammaproteobacteria; Enterobacterales; Enterobacteriaceae. The record is from RNAcentral.
GUUAAGCGACUAAGCGUACACGGUGGAUGCCCUGGCAGUCAGAGGCGAUGAAGGACGUGCUAAUCUGCGAUAAGCGUCGGUAAGGUGAUAUGAACCGUUAUAACCGGCGAUUUCCGAAUGGGGAAACCCAGUGUGUUUCGACACACUAUCAUUAACUGAAUCCAUAGGUUAAUGAGGCGAACCGGGGGAACUGAAACAUCUAAGUACCCCGAGGAAAAGAAAUCAACCGAGAUUCCCCCAGUAGCGGCGAGCGAACGGGGAGCAGCCCAGAGCCUGAAUCAGUGUGUGUGUUAGUGGAAGCGUCUGGAAAGGCGCGCGAUACAGGGUGACAGCCCCGUACACAAAAAUGCACAUGCUGUGAGCUCGAUGAGUAGGGCGGGACACGUGGUAUCCUGUCUGAAUAUGGGGGGACCAUCCUCCAAGGCUAAAUACUCCUGACUGACCGAUAGUGAACCAGUACCGUGAGGGAAAGGCGAAAAGAACCCCGGCGAGGGGAGUGAAAAAGAACCUGAAACCGUGUACGUACAAGCAGUGGGAGCACGCUUAGGCGUGUGACUGCGUACCUUUUGUAUAAUGGGUCAGCGACUUAUAUUCUGUAGCAAGGUUAACCGAAUAGGGGAGCCGAAGGGAAACCGAGUCUUAACUGGGCGUUAAGUUGCAGGGUAUAGACCCGAAACCCGGUGAUCUAGCCAUGGGCAGGUUGAAGGUUGGGUAACACUAACUGGAGGACCGAACCGACUAAUGUUGAAAAAUUAGCGGAUGACUUGUGGCUGGGGGUGAAAGGCCAAUCAAACCGGGAGAUAGCUGGUUCUCCCCGAAAGCUAUUUAGGUAGCGCCUCGUGAAUUCAUCUCCGGGGGUAGAGCACUGUUUCGGCAAGGGGGUCAUCCCGACUUACCAACCCGAUGCAAACUGCGAAUACCGGAGAAUGUUAUCACGGGAGACACACGGCGGGUGCUAACGUCCGUCGUGAAGAGGGAAACAACCCAGACCGCCAGCUAAGGUCCCAAAGUCAUGGUUAAGUGGGAAACGAUGUGGGAAGGCCCAGACAGCCAGGAUGUUGGCUUAGAAGCAGCCAUCAUUUAAAGAAAGCGUAAUAGCUCACUGGUCGAGUCGGCCUGCGCGGAAGAUGUAACGGGGCUAAACCAUGCACCGAAGCUGCGGCAGCGACACUAUGUGUUGUUGGGUAGGGGAGCGUUCUGUAAGCCUGUGAAGGUGUACUGUGAGGUAUGCUGGAGGUAUCAGAAGUGCGAAUGCUGACAUAAGUAACGAUAAAGCGGGUGAAAAGCCCGCUCGCCGGAAGACCAAGGGUUCCUGUCCAACGUUAAUCGGGGCAGGGUGAGUCGACCCCUAAGGCGAGGCCGAAAGGCGUAGUCGAUGGGAAACAGGUUAAUAUUCCUGUACUUGGUGUUACUGCGAAGGGGGGACGGAGAAGGCUAUGUUGGCCGGGCGACGGUUGUCCCGGUUUAAGCGUGUAGGCUGGUUUUCCAGGCAAAUCCGGAAAAUCAAGGCUGAGGCGUGAUGACGAGGCACUACGGUGCUGAAGCAACAAAUGCCCUGCUUCCAGGAAAAGCCUCUAAGCAUCAGGUAACAUCAAAUCGUACCCCAAACCGACACAGGUGGUCAGGUAGAGAAUACCAAGGCGCUUGAGAGAACUCGGGUGAAGGAACUAGGCAAAAUGGUGCCGUAACUUCGGGAGAAGGCACGCUGAUAUGUAGGUGAAGCGACUUGCUCGUGGAGCUGAAAUCAGUCGAAGAUACCAGCUGGCUGCAACUGUUUAUUAAAAACACAGCACUGUGCAAACACGAAAGUGGACGUAUACGGUGUGACGCCUGCCCGGUGCCGGAAGGUUAAUUGAUGGGGUUAGCGCAAGCGAAGCUCUUGAUCGAAGCCCCGGUAAACGGCGGCCGUAACUAUAACGGUCCUAAGGUAGCGAAAUUCCUUGUCGGGUAAGUUCCGACCUGCACGAAUGGCGUAAUGAUGGCCAGGCUGUCUCCACCCGAGACUCAGUGAAAUUGAACUCGCUGUGAAGAUGCAGUGUACCCGCGGCAAGACGGAAAGACCCCGUGAACCUUUACUAUAGCUUGACACUGAACAUUGAGCCUUGAUG